AACGAACGCUGGCGGCAGGCUUAACACAUGCAAGUCGAACGCACCGCAAGGUGAGUGGCGGACGGGUGAGUAACACGUGGGAACGUACCCUUUGGUUCGGAAUAACUUAGGGAAACUUGAGCUAACACCGGAUAAGCCCUUCGGGGGAAAAUUUAUUGCCAAAGGAUCGGCCCGCGUCUGAUUAGCUAGUUGGUGAGGUAAUGGCUCACCAAGGCGACGAUCAGUAGCUGGUCUGAGAGGAUGAUCAGCCACACUGGGACUGAGACACGGCCCAGACUCCUACGGGAGGCAGCAGUGGGGAAUAUUGGACAAUGGGCGCAAGCCUGAUCCAGCCAUGCCGCGUGAGUGAUGAAGGCCUUAGGGUUGUAAAGCUCUUUUACCCGGGAAGAUAAUGACUGUACCGGGAGAAUAAGCCCCGGCUAACUCCGUGCCAGCAGCCGCGGUAA
RNAcentral lists this ribosomal RNA (446 nucleotides) under uncultured bacterium. RNAcentral's name for it is "bacterial SSU rRNA". It matches the Rfam family "Bacterial small subunit ribosomal RNA", at positions 29 to 523 of the family's 1533-position model. The record is from RNAcentral.